GGCAAGAUGGCCGAGUGGUUAAGGCGUGUGACUCAAGCGUAACGGCUUCCCUGCUGAUACUGGGGUUUCUCAUCACGUAAUGUGGCGUGGGUUCAAAUCCCACUCUUGUCA
This is a non-coding RNA of Mycena albidolilacea, 111 nucleotides long. The record is from the annotation of a GenBank genome assembly. Lineage: Eukaryota; Fungi; Basidiomycota; Agaricomycetes; Agaricales; Mycenaceae.